This 451-nucleotide ribosomal RNA is filed under the name uncultured bacterium. Its description in RNAcentral is "partial 16S ribosomal RNA". It matches the Rfam family "Bacterial small subunit ribosomal RNA", at positions 29 to 523 of the family's 1533-position model. The record is from RNAcentral.
AGCGAACGCUGGCGGCAGGCUUAACACAUGCAAGUCGAACGCCCGUAGCAAUACGGGAGUGGCAGACGGGUGAGUAACGCGUGGGAACAUGCCCUUUGGUUCGGAAUAACUCAGGGAAACUUGAGCUAAUACCGGAUAAGCCCGAGAGGGGAAAGAUUUAUCGCCGAAGGAUUGGCCCGCGUCCGAUUAGCUAGUUGGUGAGGUAAUGGCUCACCAAGGCGACGAUCGGUAGCUGGUCUGAGAGGAUGAUCAGCCACACUGGGACUGAGACACGGCCCAGACCCCUACGGGAGGCAGCAGUGGGGAAUAUUGGACAAUGGGGGCAACCCUGAUCCAGCCAUGCCGCGUGAGUGAUGAAGGCCCUAGGGUUGUAAAGCUCUUUCGGCGGGGACGAUAAUGACGGUACCCGCAGAAGAAGCCCCGGCUAACUUCGUGCCAGCCGCCGCAGUAA